RNAcentral lists this ribosomal RNA (253 nucleotides) under uncultured bacterium. RNAcentral's name for it is "partial 16S ribosomal RNA". It matches the Rfam family "Bacterial small subunit ribosomal RNA", at positions 524 to 776 of the family's 1533-position model. The record is from RNAcentral.
UACGUAGGGGGCAAGCGUUGUUCGGAAUUAUUGGGCGUAAAGGGCGCGUAGGCGGUUUGUUAAGUCAGCUGUGAAAGCCCGGGGCUCAACCCCGGAGGGUCAGCUGAUACUGGCAGACUAGAGUACAGAAGAGGUAACUGGAAUUCCUGGUGUAGCGGUGAAAUGCGCAGAUAUCAGGAGGAACACCGGUGGCGAAGGCGGCACUCUGGGCCGGUACUGACGCUGAGGAGCGAAAGCGUGGGGAGCGAACAGG